RNAcentral lists this ribosomal RNA (387 nucleotides) under uncultured bacterium. RNAcentral describes it as "bacterial SSU rRNA". It matches the Rfam family "Bacterial small subunit ribosomal RNA", at positions 28 to 407 of the family's 1533-position model. The record is from RNAcentral.
GAUGAACGCUAGCGACAGGCUUAACACAUGCAAGUCGAGGGGCAGCGAGGUGGUAGCAAUACCGCUGUCGGCGACCGGCGCACUGGUGAGUAACACGUAUGCGACCUGCCCCCUACAGGGGUAUAACCCCGUAGAAAUGCGGACUAAUCCCCCCAUAGUCCCGUUGGCUGCAUGGCCUGCGGGGGAAAGGCCAGCCGGUAGGGGAUGGGCAUGCGGCGCAUUAGCUAGUUGGCGGGGCAACGGCCCACCAAGGCGACGAUGCGUAGCCGGACUGAGAGGUUGAACGGCCACAUUGGGACUGAGACACGGCCCAGACUCCUACGGGAGGCAGCAGUGGGGAAUAUUGCACAAUGGGGGAAACCCUGAUGCAGCGACGCCGCGUGGAGG